Molecule: ribosomal RNA, 253 nt
Filed under: uncultured bacterium
Lineage: Bacteria
Description: partial 16S ribosomal RNA
Rfam family: Bacterial small subunit ribosomal RNA
Source: RNAcentral
UACAGAGGCCUCGAGCGUUAGGCGGAAUCACUGGGCUUAAAGCGUGUGUAGGCGGACUUCUAAGUGCCUUGUGAAAUCCCACGGCUCACCCGUGGAACUGCUGGGCAUACUGGUCGUCUUGAGCCACCUAGGGGCUGCCGGAACAAAUGGUGGAGCGGUGAAAUGCGUAGAUAUCCGGAGGAAUACCAAAGGCGAAGGCAGUGUCCUGGAGGGUGACUGACGCUGAGGCGCGAAAGCUAGGGGAGCGAACAGG